CGGACGGGUGAGUAACGCGUGGGUAACCUGCCUUGUACUGGGGGACAACAGUUAGAAAUGACUGCUAAUACCGCAUAAGCGCACAGUACCGCAUGGUACAGCGUGAAAAACUCCGGUGGUGUGAGAUGGAUCCGCGUCUGAUUAGCCAGUUGGCGGGGUAACGGCCCACCAAAGCGACGAUCAGUAGCCGACCUGAGAGGGUGACCGGCCACAUUGGGACUGAGACACGGCCCAA
RNAcentral lists this ribosomal RNA (235 nucleotides) under uncultured bacterium. Its description in RNAcentral is "partial 16S ribosomal RNA". It matches the Rfam family "Bacterial small subunit ribosomal RNA", at positions 99 to 334 of the family's 1533-position model. The record is from RNAcentral.